Molecule: ribosomal RNA, 305 nt
Filed under: uncultured bacterium
Lineage: Bacteria
Description: bacterial SSU rRNA
Rfam family: Bacterial small subunit ribosomal RNA
Source: RNAcentral
GAUCCUACGGGGAGGCAGCAGUGGGGGAUAUUGCACAAUGGGGGGAACCCUGAUGCAGCGACGCCGCGUGGGUGAAGAAGCGCCUCGGAUCGUAAACCUCUGUCAGCAGGGAAGAACGGUCACUGUGCUAAUCAGCAGUGAAUUGACGGUACCUGCAAAGGAAGCACCGGCUAACUCCGUGCCAGCAGCCGCGGUAAUACGGAGGGUGCGAGCGUUAAUCGGAAUUACUGGGCGUAAAGCGCUCGUAGGCGGUAUGUCAAGUCAAGGGUGAAAUCCCCGCGCUCAACGUGGGAACUGCCUUUGAA